CGGAGGGUGCAAGCGUUAUCCGGAUUCACUGGGUUUAAAGGGUGCGUAGGUGGGCUAGUAAGUCCGUGGUGAAAUCUCUGAGCUUAACUCGGAAACUGCCGUGGAUACUAUUAGUCUUGAGUCUCGUGGAGGUAAGCGGAACAUGUCAUGUAGCGGUGAAAUGCUUAGAUAUGACAUAGAACACCGAUAGCGAAGGCAGCUUGCUACACGAGUAUUGACACUGAGGCACGAAAGCGUGGGGAUCAAACAGGAUUAGAUACCCUGGUAGUCCACGCCCUAAACGAUGGAUACUCGACAUACGCGAUACACAGUGUGUGUCUGAGCGAAAGCAUUAAGUAUCCCACCUGGGAAGUACGACCGCAAGGUUG
Molecule: ribosomal RNA, 368 nt
Filed under: uncultured organism
Description: bacterial SSU rRNA
Rfam family: Bacterial small subunit ribosomal RNA
Source: RNAcentral